RNAcentral lists this ribosomal RNA (468 nucleotides) under uncultured bacterium. Its description in RNAcentral is "partial 16S ribosomal RNA". It matches the Rfam family "Bacterial small subunit ribosomal RNA", at positions 28 to 507 of the family's 1533-position model. The record is from RNAcentral.
GACGAACGCUGGCGGCGUGCUUAAUACAUGCAAGUCGAACGGAAAGGCGCUGCUUUUGUGGGGUGCUCGAGUGGCGAACGGGUGAGUAACACGUGAGUAACCUGCCCUUGACUUUGGGAUAACUUCAGGAAAAUGGGGCUAAUACCGGAUAGGAGCUCCUGCUGCAUGGUGGGGGUUGGAAAGUUUCGGCGGUUGGGGAUGGACUCGCGGCUUAUCAGCUUGUUGGUGGGGUAGUGGCUUACCAAGGCUUUGACGGGUAGCCGGCCUGGGAGGGUGACCGGCCACCUUGGUACUGAGAUACGGCCCAGACUCCUACGGGAGGCAGCAGUGGGGAAUAUUGCACAAUGGGCGGAAGCCUGAUGCAGCAACGCCGCGUGCGGGAUGACGGCCUUCGGGUUGUAAACCGCUUUCGCCUGUGACGAAGCGUGAGUGACGGUAAUGGGUAAAGAAGCACCGGCUAACUACGUG